UUGAUUCAACUCGAAAACGACCUAUACUUUUGGAUGCCCUAAGUUUUGGGUUAGAUGUUUUUUUUUUAUUGUGUGGUCCAUUUAUUUGUAAUUAAGUGGUAGCCCAUCUGUAGAGAAGACUGUGGCCCAAUCUAUAUGAGUGACCUAAUGUCUUGCUAUAUAUAUGUUUUGUUCCUAGCCGUGUCUUCGUGUGUGUGUAGUAUGCAAGAGAGAAAACAAGAAAAGAAAAGAGAAAAGCAGUCGACUUUCUUCGGAGUUAGAGAGCUUGGAGUGUUUUUUGGUGUCUUCCUUUAUCUUUCUCCUUCCUUUGCCGAGUGCAUACACCACCACCAUAGUCUCCUUUGUGGAGUGAAACUUGUAGUGACCAAGUGUGGAAGUUUUAGGUCGAAUCGAGAUAAACUGGUGUUCGUUUGAUUGUUUUCUCCUCCAAAAUCAAGAUUUCUUGAGAGAUUUCCAUGACAAUUGUGAUGUAAAGGAAGAGUUUCCCAAGCGGUCAAACUUCAUGGAAGUGGUGCCUCUACUUUAUUCCAGUUUUUACCAAAAAAGGAAAAGGCCCAAAUUUGCAUAAGAAAUUAUGUCUUCAAACUGGGCAAUUCAGCUCCUAUUUUUCUAAGUGAGAUAAUUGAAAUGAGAAUUCACGCAGCAAUUCUCUUAUUAUCUGUUUUAAUCCUUAAAGUUGUUGUCCAUAUCACAAGAGAUUAUGCAUAAUUUCUCUGACAUGUUAGCUCGAACAACUUUCUUACUUGAGUUUUAUUGCCUAUGUCUGUGAACUUAUCAUCUGAACAAAAUUUAGUGCAUAUUUCAGGGUCAUUCGCAGGUUUUGGAUUUUUGUCAUUGUACUUAUCUUGUAAAAUUAAAGCGUUUGAUCAGAGGGGUCA
Molecule: long non-coding RNA, 878 nt
Filed under: Olea europaea subsp. europaea
Lineage: Eukaryota; Viridiplantae; Streptophyta; Magnoliopsida; Lamiales; Oleaceae
Source: RNAcentral